This 492-nucleotide ribosomal RNA is filed under the name uncultured bacterium. RNAcentral's name for it is "partial 16S ribosomal RNA". It matches the Rfam family "Bacterial small subunit ribosomal RNA", at positions 29 to 507 of the family's 1533-position model. The record is from RNAcentral.
AGCGAACGCUGGCGGUAGGCCUAACACAUGCAAGUCGAACGGCAGCGCAGUACGAGCUUGCUCUUACGGGUGGCGAGUGGCGGAAGGGUGAGGAAUACAUCGGAAUCUACUUUUUCGUGGGGGAUAACGUAGGGAAACUUACGCUCAUACCGCAUACGACCUACGGGUGAAGGCGGGGGAUCUUCGGACCUUGCGCGAUUGAAUGCGCCGAUGUCGUAUUAGCUUGUUGGCGGGGUAAAGGCCAACGAAGGCGCCGAUCCGUAGCUGGACGGAGAGGAGGAUAACCGACACGGGAACGGAGACACGGACCAGAGGCCUGCGGGAGGCAGCAGUGUGGUAUAGUGGACAGUGGUCGCGAGUCUGAUCCAGUCAUAGCGAGUGUGUUGAGAAGGCCUUCGGUGUGGAAAGCCCGUUUUUUGGUUAAGAAAAGCAGCAGCUUAAUACCCCGCUUGUCUGACGGUACUCAAAGAAUAAGCACCGGCUAACUUCGUG